AAUCAACGCUGGCGGCGUGCCUCAGACAUGCAAGUCGAACGAUUAAAGCUCUCUUCGGAGAGUGUAUAGAGUGGCGCACGGGUGAGUAACACGUAAGUAAUCUACCUUCGAGUGGGGAAUAACGUCCGGAAACGGACGCUAAUACCGCAUAAUGCAGCGGCAUCGCAAGAUGACAGUUGUUAAAGAUUUAUCGCUUGAAGAGGAGCUUGCGGCAGAUUAGCUAGUUGGUAAGGUAACGG
This 239-nucleotide ribosomal RNA is filed under the name uncultured bacterium. Its description in RNAcentral is "partial 16S ribosomal RNA". It matches the Rfam family "Bacterial small subunit ribosomal RNA", at positions 32 to 263 of the family's 1533-position model. The record is from RNAcentral.